RNAcentral lists this ribosomal RNA (380 nucleotides) under uncultured eukaryote. RNAcentral describes it as "partial 18S ribosomal RNA". It matches the Rfam family "Eukaryotic small subunit ribosomal RNA", at positions 592 to 976 of the family's 1831-position model. The record is from RNAcentral.
CAAUAGCGUAUAUUAAAGUUGUUGCGGUUAAAAAGCUCGUAGUUGGAUUUCUGCUGAGAACGACCGGUCCGCCCUUUGGGUGUGUAUCUGGCUCUUUCUUGGCAUCUUCUUGGUGAGCGUUGCUGCACUUGACUGUGUGGAGCGCUACCCAGGACUUUUACUUUGAGGAAAUUAGAGUGUUUCAAGCAGGCAUACGCCUUGAAUACAUUAGCAUGGAAUAAUAAGAUAGGACCUCGGUUCUAUUUUGUUGGUUUCUAGAGCUGAGGUAAUGAUUAAUAGGGAUAGUUGGGGGCAUUCGUAUUUAACUGCCAGAGGUGAAAUUCUUGGAUUUGUUAAAGACGGACUACUGCGAAAGCAUUUGCCAAGGAUGUUUUCAUUGA